Molecule: long non-coding RNA, 807 nt
Organism: Salvelinus sp. IW2-2015
Lineage: Eukaryota; Metazoa; Chordata; Actinopteri; Salmoniformes; Salmonidae
Source: RefSeq, a predicted model, not a curated record
UGACUGGUACUGCAUGUCAGGCUGUAGUACGACAGACAGACAGACCGAAAGGGCAACUCAAGCCAGAUUUAAAGAGCAACUGCCCCUAAAAAGCAACUACUCCCUUUGAAAAUGGUAUAUGUGGCAUCGAUAUAAGUCAGAAACAUUUCUUUUUUGGGGUCAAAAUUGACUACAAAGUGGAAAUAGGAUAAUUUUGGUCAUACAGUGUAAAACUGAGUUUGGAACCUCAGUGCGUCACGAGUAAAUUAAGGAUGAGUUUGGAUUACAAUUGUCAACAAUUCAUGCCCCCUUUUGCCAAGCUCCACGUGCAAAUCGCCCCUCCGCUUCCCUUCAUUGAAUGGGGCAUAAUUGUUUCAUCACCCCCAACGCUUUCAAAGGAUCACGGAACCUAUACGGAUUGAACAUGCCUUCACUGCCAAAGUUUUAUGGUAUGCAUGCCCGGCCGAAGAACCCUUGUAUGUGGAAUAUGUGCUUGGAGUUCGUCGGUCCCCAAGUCUGCACCAGUAACGCUAGUUUGGUGUGCAACGACCGGUGGUGGCCCUCCCAGUCAACACCACCUCAUAAGAUGAGGUGGUGUUUAAAAGGUUUGCCUGCUGCAGUUGUUCGAGAGAUGUCCAGUUUGCAGCCGAACAUGCAACAUAGAAAAGACCAGCAAGGGAACUCUCAGCAUCACGUAGACAUGCCCUCGCUGUGCGCUUUCCUAUAAAUGGAAUCAGUAUCUUUGAUGAGGGGCCAGGAGCUGAUCUGCGCUGCCAUGCCCAUCAAUGGGGCACUGGCAAAGGCCUCACCUCUUGCCUGCUCACCAAC